This 253-nucleotide ribosomal RNA is filed under the name uncultured bacterium. Its description in RNAcentral is "partial 16S ribosomal RNA". It matches the Rfam family "Bacterial small subunit ribosomal RNA", at positions 524 to 776 of the family's 1533-position model. The record is from RNAcentral.
UACGUAGGUGACCAGCGUUGUCCGGAUUUACUGGGCGUAAAGAGCGCGCAGGCGGUCGUUCAAGUCGAGUGUGAAAGCCCCCGGCUCAACUGGGGAGGGUCAUUCGAUACUGAUCGACUGGAAGGCAGGAGAGGGUAGUGGAAUUCCCGGUGUAGUGGUGAAAUGCGUAGAUAUCGGGAGGAACACCAGUGGCGAAGGCGACUACCUGGCCUGUUCUUGACGCUGAGGCGCGAAAGCUAGGGGAGCAAACGGG